CAAGCGGACCUCAUAAAGUGCGUCGUAGUCCGGAUUGGAGUCUGCAACUCGACUCCAUGAAGUCGGAAUCGCUAGUAAUCGUGGAUCAGAAUGCCACGGUGAAUACGUUCCCGGGCCUUGUACACACCGCCCGUCACACCAUGGGAGUGGGUUGCAAAAGAAGUAGGUAGCUUAACCUUCGGGAGGGCGCUUACCACUUUGUGAUUCAUGACUGGGGUGAAGUCGUAACAAGGUAACCGUAGGGGAACCUGCGGUUGGAUCACCUCCUUA
Molecule: ribosomal RNA, 270 nt
Filed under: Escherichia coli
Lineage: Bacteria; Pseudomonadati; Pseudomonadota; Gammaproteobacteria; Enterobacterales; Enterobacteriaceae
Also listed under: 3 other names
Description: partial 16S ribosomal RNA
Rfam family: Bacterial small subunit ribosomal RNA
Source: RNAcentral